UGGGGAAUUUUGGACAAUGGGGGAAACCCUGAUCCAGCCAUCCCGCGUGUGCGAUGAAGGCCCUCGGGUUGUAAAGCACUUUUGGCAGGAAAGAAACGUCAUGGGUUAAUACCCCGUGAAACUGACGGUACCUGCAGAAUAAGCACCGGCUAACUACGUGCCAGCAGCCGCGGUAAUACGUAGGGUGCAAGCGUUAAUCGGAAUUACUGGGCGUAAAGCGUGCGCAGGCGGUUCGGAAAGAAAGAUGUGAAAUCCCAGAGCUCAACUUUGGAACUGCAUUUUUAACUACCGGGCUAGAGUGUGUGAGAGGGAGGUGGAAUUCCGCGUGUAGCAGUGAAAUGCGUAGAUAUGCGGAGGAACACCGAUGGCGAAGGCAGCCUCCGGGGAUAACACUGACGCUCAUGCACGAAAGCGUGGGGAGCAAACAGG
This 429-nucleotide ribosomal RNA is filed under the name Acidobacteriota bacterium. Its description in RNAcentral is "Acidobacteria bacterium partial 16S ribosomal RNA". It matches the Rfam family "Bacterial small subunit ribosomal RNA", at positions 355 to 776 of the family's 1533-position model. The record is from RNAcentral. Lineage: Bacteria; Pseudomonadati; Acidobacteriota.